AAAUUAAUAUGAAUUAAUGAAAAUCAAAUGAAUUAAAACAAAAAUCAAAAAAUAAAAAAAAAACGUGAACCACUUGAUCUCCCUCAUUAAUUGAGGUGACAUAUCAAGUGAAUAGAAACGCGCGUUCCAUGGUGGAACUUAGUCGACGCGCCAGACGCGUGGUAAUCAAAACCAACACUUAAGAUUAAAACAUUUCAAUUGGAUCAUGUGGUCUAGAGACAUGCCAACACACCACC
RNAcentral lists this long non-coding RNA (236 nucleotides) under Lathyrus oleraceus (garden pea). RNAcentral's name for it is "Pisum sativum (pea) long non-coding RNA (PSAT_LNC000706)". Lineage: Eukaryota; Viridiplantae; Streptophyta; Magnoliopsida; Fabales; Fabaceae. The record is from RNAcentral.